Molecule: long non-coding RNA, 158 nt
Organism: Diabrotica virgifera virgifera (western corn rootworm)
Lineage: Eukaryota; Metazoa; Arthropoda; Insecta; Coleoptera; Chrysomelidae
Exons: 3
Source: RefSeq, a predicted model, not a curated record
CAUUUGUAACAUUAUAGGUUUUUUAUUUGUAUUCUAUACUACGACUAAAGUGGUUGUGCAAAAAUGGAACACAUUGAGAAAGACGCGGUAGCUCGAGCUAGGAGUUGGUUGUCUCCCUGGGAACAGACGCUACCUAUUGUUGUUCAGUACGGCUUCGG